Molecule: long non-coding RNA, 1093 nt
Filed under: Homo sapiens (human)
Lineage: Eukaryota; Metazoa; Chordata; Mammalia; Primates; Hominidae
Description: EML2 antisense RNA 1 (EML2-AS1)
Source: RNAcentral
GGUCCCUCCAAGGCUCUGGCACCGUCCCCGCUUUUGAACUAGCUGGCCCCACUCUAGGUUACGACCUCGUGGCCUGGGGCAUGACUACAUUUCUCGACCAUUUCCUCCCUAUCUCUUUCUGCGGCUUGACGCCGCCCCAGUCCUUACCCUUCCUUUUUGGCGCUACAGUUGCUGCUGGAGGAUGUGGUCCGGCUGCGGGGGUCCUCACGGCGCACCGAGGCGAGGCGCUCUGGUGACAAGUAGCGGCGGACACUGCUAAAAGAGAGCACACAGGUCUUGGAAGAGGCUGGGGGUCCCGGCCUUGUGCCUUACCUGCGCCCGGAGGUCGCCUCCUUCUUGGGAGAGGAUGGGGACGUGGCAUAGCCACCCACGCGCCGCGGGGGUCCCGAGCCAUUAAGGGGCGUCCUGGUGGGAAGGCCUUUCAAGAGCUGACACACUGGAGGGAUGGGGUUAGGGGACAGAAGAGGGCGACGCAGAGCAUCCGCCAGCGCCGCCUUUAGGACCGCCAGCUCGUCUUCCUGUAACUGCAGCCGCUGCUCCAGCGCCGACACGCGGUCGUCCACUUCCAUACCGCUCGUGCCCGACAAAUUGUCAUCUGGAAGACGGGGGAGUGCCGGCUGCAGGGCCACCCAGGAGCUCCAGUGCCCAAGGGGUCCCUCCCGCCUUCCUGGGUCUAAGCGGGGGGCCAGCCACGCCCCUUUCCUGUCCCGCUACCUGGGGCUGGGACACUUGGACAUGAGCCAAGGAAGAGGACUCUGAAGGGGGAAGGAAAUCCCCACAGCUCUCCAACCCAUCCGCACACUCCUCUCUGCCACAGCGCGCUGGCCGUGUGACCUUGGGGAAGUCCCUUCCCUCUUAUUUUCUAAGAGUCUGUGAACCCAGGAGCCUCUCGCUCUGGCUUUAAGAUGCUAUGACUAAGACGUGACCAGGCGCAGUGGCUCACGCCUGUAACCCCAGCACUUUGGGAGGCCGAGGCGGGCGUAUCACGAGGUCAGGAGAUCGAGACCAUCCUGGCCAACAUGGUGAAACCCCGUCUCUACUAAAAUAAAAUUAAAUUAAAAAUAAAAUAAAAUUUAAAAAAAAAAAAAAAAAA